UUAACUCAACUUUGUAUGGAGUUGGAACGUUUGCCGCCAGGGGCGCUGUUCCAACUGCAUACAAAUUUAAGUUA
RNAcentral lists this microRNA precursor (74 nucleotides) under Bombyx mori (domestic silkworm). RNAcentral's name for it is "mir-2807 microRNA precursor family". It matches the Rfam family "mir-2807 microRNA precursor family". Lineage: Eukaryota; Metazoa; Arthropoda; Insecta; Lepidoptera; Bombycidae. The record is from Rfam by way of RNAcentral.